GUUCUAAGGAGUCAUGCACUGUCUUUGGCAAGGUGGGAAAGCAUAAACUCACAGCAGGCACUCAACAAAUGCCACGCUGAAUGAAUGAAGCCCUUUCUCACGUUCACCCUCAGAUCCAGGGGAAUGCAGGGCAUGGCCCCUCCGGAAACCCAGGCAAGAUGCCCCCACAGAUGAUCUGUGGCCCAAGGCGAGAUCCUUGGCUGAUAGAAGAGCAAGUCUACUCCACAUUCAAGAGUAGCUGUGGCUGAGAUGAAUCAGUGACACACUGGAGUCUGGGACCCCAGCCAGGGUUCUUCUUGGAGUUGUGAGCUCAUUCAGCCUUUGAGAAGGGCCACCACUUAUAUACAUGCUGUGGAUCCAAAGACAGUCCCUGAAGAGUCCUGCAUGCUAAUCUCUGUCUCAGACUCUCAGUUCCCAGAGGACCCAACUUGCCGCAAUUACCAACCCAUUGGUUUACUCUUGCUCACUGCCCUUUUUUAAAAAAUUAAAAUGUAACACACAUUUUGGAUAGGGUACCCUACUUGGAAGGGGUAUGGUACCUAACUAUCCAAUUAAGUAAUAAUCUAGGUGUUGCUGUAAAGGUAUUUUGUAGAAGUGAUUAACACAAUUAGUUGACUUUAAGUAAAGACUACCCUCAAGAAUGUGGGUGGGCCUCACCCAAUCAGUUGAUGACCAUACGAGGAGAAAUUGAUGUUUCCCCGGAGGAGAAAAAAUUGUGCCUAAGAACUGCAACAUCAACUCCUGCCUGAGUUUCAGUCUGCCAGCCUCCCCUGCAGAUUUUGGACUUGCCAGCUCCACAGUCAUGUGAGCCAAAACCUUAAAAUAAAU
Long non-coding RNA from Canis lupus familiaris (dog), 828 nucleotides. RefSeq lists it as uncharacterized. The transcript is spliced from 3 exons. Lineage: Eukaryota; Metazoa; Chordata; Mammalia; Carnivora; Canidae. The record is from RefSeq and is a predicted model, not a curated record.